UACGGAGGGUGCAAGCGUUGCUCGGAAUCACUGGGCGUAAAGGGCGUGUAGGCGGUCUCGUAUGUCUGACGUGAAAGCCCCGGGCUCAACCCGGGAAGUGCGUUGGAAACUGCGAGACUAGAGGUAGGUAGGGGAGAAUGGAAUUCCCGGUGUAGCGGUGAAAUGCGCAGAUAUCGGGAGGAACACCGGUGGCGAAGGCGGUUAGCUGGGCAGUUGCUGACACUGAGGCGCGACAGCGUGGGGAGCAAACAGG
This 253-nucleotide ribosomal RNA is filed under the name uncultured bacterium. Its description in RNAcentral is "partial 16S ribosomal RNA". It matches the Rfam family "Bacterial small subunit ribosomal RNA", at positions 524 to 776 of the family's 1533-position model. The record is from RNAcentral.